UCCCAUACUGCAAUGCGUACAUUUAAUUCUUAGAAGUGAAAUGGGGUGUCACUGUGACAGAGCUUAAACGCGUUUGCUUGGUUUUACCUCUUCCAGCGACAAGGGCAUGGCGAUCCGACUUCAAAACAUCCCCAUUGAAAAUUUAUCAGCUGAGGAAACCUAAGAAUAACCAUUUGAAGAAAUAUGAACACCACCCGAACGAACAUUAACCACUAAUAAAGGAAGAAGAUGCAGAGUAAAGGGGCGGCUUGCAGCAAUGGUUCAGCCUAGUGCACUCAAGCUGUUUGAUAAAAUGCAUGCAAGAAUUUACACUCUCAGAAAAUGGCUACGGGAGUACUUCGAGGGCUCCCAACCUCCAAUCUGCAAUAGCAAGUUCUUACAAAUUCUAGAUGCCUUCUGUGUUGUUUUUCCUUUCCUAUAUGGACAUAGCCCAUGACUAACAGAACCAUUGAAACAGCGACAAGUGUAAUGUAAAAACAGAAAGGAAAAAAGGCAGUUUGUAUAAAACACACCGUUUGGACAUGACCCAAACGCUGUGUUUAAUUAAAGGACAAAAUGCAUAGCUUUAUUAAAGGGAUCUUCACACGGUGCCGUUUCUUCCAAGCUUGAAAGCCCUUCAUGCACCUACGUACGACGCCGUUGUCUCCCAUUCUUCUUACAGGUUCACUUCACUUCACUUCCUACACACUUCAUUCACGGACGGACUCUCCCCAUUUUCUCCUCAACUUAGGGCUAAGUCACUGGAUUCUUGACAAACUCCCCUCCAUCAAAGCACCUUGCCCACAAGGUGUGGGUAAAGGCCUUGUAAACGCCACAGCAACUCCCACGUGCUUUCCUCCGUUGGUAGACCCACCCAUUUUACGAGAACUUCGGUGGCAGUGAAGGAAAUAUUGGGACUUGGUGGCCGAGCUUCCUCUUUAAGCAUGAUACAUGGAAAGUCGGGUGUAUCUUAGAAGACUCCGGAAGCUUUAAUCUGACAUAACAUACGUACCAGGAUUCGAAUUUCAUCUUUCAAGCCACAAAGAAAACAGCUCAAUUUAUGAUUAUCUGAGAGAGCUCGUAAGCGGUUGGCCAACCUUUCAAAUUGGCUCAUGUAAGACUCGACUGUAGUGGUCUGUUUUAGCCUCAUCAAUGCCUCCAUUGGAUCGUCGUAAGUCGUGGGUCCAAAACGCAGCAGUAAUGCUCUGGAAAAAGUGUCCCAAUCACGGCAUAAUCCCCCAUCGAUGACAUUUUCAAACCAUACGAGGGUGUCUCCUUCCAUAUGGUAAGAGGCCAUCAAAAGUCGUUGAGACAUUGGUGUUUGGUGGAACUCGAAGUAGUGGUUGGCUUUAAAAAGCCAUGCAGCUGGAUUAAGUCCUUGGAAAUGGGGAAAAUCCAACUUGACCCCUCUAUUGUUCAUUCUUCAUGGGUCAUGGUUUUCCACUUCAAAGUUGGCUUCAUGGUUAAGAGGUGGAGGGGGUGGUGGAUGGUGCUAUCGGUUCAUCAAGGAAGAAGAUGCAAAGUAAAGGGGCGGCUUGCAGCAAUGGUUCAACCUAGUGCACUCAAGCUGUUUGAUAAAAUGCAUGCAAGAAUUUACACUCUCAAAAAAUGGCUACAGGAGUACUUCGAGGGCUCCCAACCUCCAAUCUGCAAUAGCAAGUUCUUACAAAUUCCAUAUGCCUUUUGUGUUGUUUUUCCUUUCCUAUAUGGACAUAGCCCAUGACUAACAGAACCAUUGAAACAGCGACAAGUGUAAUGUAAAAAUAGAAAGGAAAAAAGGCAAUUUGUAUAAAACACACCGUUUGGACAUGACCCCAAACGCUGUGUUUAAUUAAAGGACAAAACGCAUAGCUUUAUUAAAGGGAUCUUCACACGGUGCCGUUUCUUCCAAGCUUGAAAGCCCUUCAUGCACCUAUGUACGACGCCGUUGUCUCCCAUUCUUCUUACAGGUUCACUUCACUUCACUUCCUGCACACACUUCACUUCCUUCACUUCCGUUUCAGCUUCAUUCACGGACAGACUCUCCCCAUUUUCUCCUCAACUUAGGGCUAAGUCACUGGAUUCUUGACAGUGUACCAAACAAACACUCCAAGAACAAGAUUUGUUUUUAAUAUUUUCUUUUCCUCAUUUCAUCCGAUGCAAAAACAUUUUAAAAAGGGAAGGAUACAAUUCCUUGAUGACAACCAUCUCCAGCAGAUUCCUUCUAUUAUGUUACUUGGCUUCUGGCGAGACUCAACCAAACUUCAAAUGCAAUGUAGACAGGACCAAGCGAGAGGCCAGAGAUCGAGAUACAGAGAAUGUUGGAGUAUGCAAGUUGAUCGUGGAAAAGAAAAAGAAGAUGCAGAGCAGAAUGCGGGGUGAUGCUUUGAGCUUGGAUCUGAGACAGGGAGACAGAUGACGAUAUUUCGUUAUGACCAUUUUGGAUUCUAGUGCUCUAUUCAUGGGUGGACGGACGGUUUUCCCUGGACUUCCAGGAAAUUUCCAGCGACAGCUAGUCGUUGAUCAUAAUAAAUAUAAAAAAAAUAAUAAUAAUAAUUCUUUUUGCAGUCCUAAUUCGGGACAUUUCAUUUAAGUGAGAGUAAACAGCUGCGUAUUAAAAUCAUAUCUCCUGCAUUUUCUUCCUCUUUAAGCCCCUUCACUCUUUAAGCCCCAAGUCCCUCGUCCCUCAAACUUCACUCUAGCCCCAAGUCCCUAUGUGUGUUCGCCGUCGCCCCCUUCCCCCUUCGCCUUUUGCCUUUCACCGUCGCCCCUUCACCGUUCCUCAUCCUUUCAGAACAACUGAAUCUGCCCAAAACCCCUUCACCGUUCCUCCUCCUUGUGGGCUAUUUUGCAUCAGAAAUGUUAAUAGAAGAAAGAAAUAAUCUUGUGAUUUUCGUGCAUGUCUUGUUUAUUUUUCAUGUUCAGAUUUGUUGAGCUUGGGUUGAGCUUGAGUUUGGGAUGGGCUUAAAGUUGGAUUUUCUUCCCAUUAAUCGGUGCCAAAGAAGAGCACUGUAAUGAAGAGAGCAUCAAACAGAAAAUUAAAAAGAAAAAAAAAAUUCUUAGUAGUAGUUCAGAAAGUAUCAAACACAUUUCCUUGCAUUUAGACUCUAUUCUAUGUUCGGUUGAAAAUGAAAAUUAAAUUCUCAAAUCUGUAGUAGUCUGGAUUUGGUUCAAAGGUAGUAGUGUUGAGUAAACCAUAGUUUCCACCAAUAAAACUGUGUCUGCAUAAUCUGUAUAGUAUUUAGAAUUUUUACUUUACAUAGUGGUUGCUGCAGUAAGGAUUGGGAUUUUUGAAUGUGAUUCUGGGGAGGAAUUUCAGUCUUUGGCAAUUAGUUCAGAUGGCAAGUUUCUCAUCAAGGUAAAAUUGUUGCAUAAAGGGUCUCUUGUUUAAAUGGUUACUAACUACAAAGGUGCCAACAUUUAUGUAUUUAAUCUGAUGCUGACCCAAUACUUGGCCAAUGUAAAUAUAAGUUGCAGUAUUAUGAGAAAAUUGGAAAGCCUAUUUCAAAUUCUGGAAAGGUGCUCAUGACUCAGAGAAAAUUGCAAUAAUGCUUGUAGAAGUUGUUUUUUAUUUUUUAUAUAAGUAAUGCUUGUAGAAGUUGUUUUUUGUUUUUUAUAUAAGUAAUGCUUGUAGACGUUGUUAGAGCAAGCAUCCCUUUGAAAUGGAUGGAAGGCAGAUUAUUGUGAUUACUGUCAAAUGCAUGCACCCGGAAUGAUUAAAAAAAAAAUUUUACUUUUUGUUUGUUUGUUUCGCAUAGAAACAUGAAAAAAUAGAAUUUUUCUUGGUUGUUUGUUUAUGUAGUUAUUGCUUGGAUGUAUGGUCCGUAACUUCUACCUGAACAUGUUUCUUGGUUUUGUGAGGAUUGUGAAUCAAAGUAGUCAAAUGCACGCAUCCAGAAUGAUUAAAAAAGAAAAAAGCACCCAGAACAACUUCGUAAUACAAGCACCGGGAACAACCUGUGGACCAGAACCAAACUGCAGAGGAGAAGAAUCUGGUGGAGGAGGAGGCUGCCAAUUGUUCUUACUUCAUUCUUGAGGAGAAAAUGCAGGAGGUCUGGUUUUUACCAAAGCAAUACUCUUGAGGAGAAAAUGCAGAGGUCUAGUUUCUACCAAAGCAAUACGCAAUCUUUUACCUCACUUAAAUGAAACGGAAUCGCUUCUUUUAAGUGAGGUCAGCAUAUGCAGUCUUGAAUUGGGACUGUACGUAGUAGUUCCCUAAAACUCUGAUAUUACGGAUCGACACAGGCCCAUGAAUCUUUCUAGACGUACGUCGUUGUCGCUGUCGCCGUUGCCAAACGCAAUCGCUUCCAUCCAUUACCAACUUUAAAAAAAUUCGAACUAAUUGGGUUAUGUUAUAAACUUAUUUGUAUAACCAUC
Molecule: long non-coding RNA, 4335 nt
Organism: Carya illinoinensis
Lineage: Eukaryota; Viridiplantae; Streptophyta; Magnoliopsida; Fagales; Juglandaceae
Exons: 5
Source: RefSeq, a predicted model, not a curated record